UACGUAGGGUGCAAGCGUUGUCCGGAAUUAUUGGGCGUAAAGAGCUCGUAGGCGGUCUGUUGCGUCGGCUGUGAAAACCCGAGGCUCAACCUCGGGCCUGCAGCCGAUACGGGCAGACUAGAGUUCGGCAGGGGAGACUGGAAUUCCUGGUGUAGCGGUGAAAUGCGCAGAUAUCAGGAGGAACACCGGUGGCGAAGGCGGCUUCCUGGACCGACACUGACGCUGAGGCGCGAAAGCUAGGGGAGCAAACGGG
This 253-nucleotide ribosomal RNA is filed under the name uncultured bacterium. RNAcentral describes it as "partial 16S ribosomal RNA". It matches the Rfam family "Bacterial small subunit ribosomal RNA", at positions 524 to 776 of the family's 1533-position model. The record is from RNAcentral.